CAGUCGCCGCGGGAAUACGUAGGGUGCAAGCGUUAAUCGGUAUUACUGGGCGUAAAGCGUGCGCAGGCGGUUCUAUAAGACAGAUGUGAAAUCCCCGGGCUCAACCUGGGAACUGCAUUUGUGACUGUAGAGCUGGAGUGCGGCAGAGGGGGAUGGAAUUCCGCGUGUAGCAGUGAAAUGUGUAGAUAUGCGGAGGAACACCGAUGGCGAAGGCAAUCCCCUGGGCCUGCACUGACGCUCAUGCACGAAAGCGUGGGGAGCAAACAGGAUUAGAUACCCGGUAGUCCCUGUCUCUUAUACC
This 301-nucleotide ribosomal RNA is filed under the name uncultured bacterium. RNAcentral's name for it is "partial 16S ribosomal RNA". It matches the Rfam family "Bacterial small subunit ribosomal RNA", at positions 509 to 808 of the family's 1533-position model. The record is from RNAcentral.